Cavia porcellus (domestic guinea pig) is the source of this 892-nucleotide long non-coding RNA. RefSeq lists it as uncharacterized. The record is from RefSeq and is a predicted model, not a curated record. Lineage: Eukaryota; Metazoa; Chordata; Mammalia; Rodentia; Caviidae. The transcript has 3 exons.
UUUUUAAAUAUCUGGGUUAUCUUCUUUUUAACUCAUUAGUGGAUGAAAUGCUUUUGGUUAAAAAAAGGACUGCUUGUAUUUUUAGCAUUAUAAGCAUUUAUUACAUGGGGGAAAUUUGUUUUCUCCACAUAAAUCAGAAAGAUCAAGUGCCCCAAUUUUUUUCCUUGUUAUUACGUGAUAUAUUGUAAUAUACAAAUAUAUGACAUGUAUAUGGCACAAUUAUGUGAUAUAUGUAUUUUUUUCUUCCUUGGUUCCUGCCUCAUAACUCUGACUUACCUACUCUGAUAUUAGGUCAAAAGACCCCUUUCAUUCCAGAGGGUCUUGGCCCUAUGCCCUGGGGAGAGGAAUGCUGCUCAGAGAAGCCCAGAAGAAUCUGAACAUACAGGCCCUGCUGGAUCCCCCAGCCCUGCAGCCUAUUGGCAGUUACAUCUGUGCAAUGAGGUCUCCAUAGAACUCAAAUCCGGAGACCUACCAGGCAGCUGAACGUGAGGAGGUUCCUGGACAAAACUGCUUUUGGAGAGGGCAAGGAAGCUCUGUGUGCCUUCUCCCAUAUCAUCCCCUUUGCUCUAUCACAUACUCCUGUUGUGAAGUUCUGCCAUGUCAGAGGUCCAAAAGCAACAAAGCCACCAACCAUGGACCAAACCUUCUGAAACCAUGACCCAAGAUAAAGCUUUCCUCUUUAUACGUUAUCUCAGGUGUUUUGUUAUAAUACUGGGAUCGAACUCAUGACGGCCUGCUUGCAAGGCAGGCGCUUAUGCCGCUGAGCUAAAUCCCCAGCCCCCCUCAGCAUCUCUUCAUCACCACCUUCUGCUGAAGAUGGACGAUUCCUCUACUCCCAGGGCAGGGACUUCUUGGCAAUGGCUUAAAAUAGCCACAGAUGAGGGAGGUGGUG